CCUACGGGAGGCAGCAGUGGGGAAUAUUGCACAAUGGGGGAAACCCUGAUGCAGCGACGCCGCGUGAGUGAAGAAGUAAUUCGUUACGUAAAGCUCUAUCAGUAGGGGAGUAAAUGACGGUACCUGAGUAAGAAGCCCCGGCUAAAUACGUUCCAGCAGCCGCGGUAAUACGUAGGGGGCAAGCGUUAUCCGGAUUUACUGGGUGUAAAGGGGGCGUAGACGGUGCGCCAAGUCUGGAGUGAAAUGCCGCAGCUUAACUGCGGAACUGCUUUGGAAACUGGCGAACUAGAGUGCGGGAGGGGUAAGCGGAAUUCGUAGUGUAGCGGUGAAAUGCGUAGAUAUCAGGAGGAACACCGAUGGCGAAGGCGGCUUACUGGACCGUAACUGACGUUGAGGCUCGAAAGCGUGGGGAGCAAACAGGAUUAGAUACCCGUGUAGUC
This 440-nucleotide ribosomal RNA is filed under the name uncultured bacterium. RNAcentral's name for it is "partial 16S ribosomal RNA". It matches the Rfam family "Bacterial small subunit ribosomal RNA", at positions 338 to 795 of the family's 1533-position model. The record is from RNAcentral.